UCUGGCAUGAGGUUGUUGUAGAACAUUUGCACUGUUGAUUGCUCGGUAAUUUUCUCUGGACACUGAAUAUUGAGGCUCCUCCAUCUCAUUAUGAAGUCAUUAACACUUUCCCCUGGCUUUUGGGUAUUGAGCUAAGUCCAAGAUCGAGACCUUCUUCUUUGAACUGACAAACUGCGCCAAAAAUGCUUUUUGCAUGUCGUCCCAUGUCAGGAUAGAGCCUAGUGGUAGUUGUGUAUACCAAGUGAAAGCUGAUCCUUUUAGUGAUUGAACAAAUUGACGCACCAGGAGAACGUCAGACUGAG
Molecule: long non-coding RNA, 302 nt
Filed under: Prunus persica (peach)
Lineage: Eukaryota; Viridiplantae; Streptophyta; Magnoliopsida; Rosales; Rosaceae
Description: long non-coding RNA (PPER_LNC006938)
Source: RNAcentral